UAGGGUGGUUUUAGCAGAGGGGCUCACCUGUUCCCAUUCCGAACACAGAAGUUAAGCCCUCUAGCGCCGAUGGUACUGCGCAAGCGGGAGAGUAGGUCGCCGCCAGUU
This 108-nucleotide ribosomal RNA is filed under the name Bergeyella cardium. The record is from RNAcentral. Lineage: Bacteria; Pseudomonadati; Bacteroidota; Flavobacteriia; Flavobacteriales; Weeksellaceae.